RNAcentral lists this ribosomal RNA (301 nucleotides) under uncultured bacterium. RNAcentral's name for it is "partial 16S ribosomal RNA". It matches the Rfam family "Bacterial small subunit ribosomal RNA", at positions 509 to 809 of the family's 1533-position model. The record is from RNAcentral.
CAGUCGCCGCGGUAAUACGGAGGGUGCAAGCGUUAUCCGGAUUUAUUGGGUUUAAAGGGUCCGUAGGCGGAUCUGUAAGUCAGUGGUGAAAUCUCACAGCUUAACUGUGAAACUGCCAUUGAUACUGCAGGUCUUGAGUAAAUUUGAAGUGGCUGGAAUAAGUAGUGUAGCGGUGAAAUGCAUAGAUAUUACUUAGAACACCAAUUGCGAAGGCAGGUCACUAAGAUUUAACUGACGCUGAUGGACGAAAGCGUGGGGAGCGAACAGGAUUAGAUACCCGGGUAGUCCCUGUCUCUUAUAA